CCGGGCUGCGGAGUAUGGAGCCGGCGGCGGGCGGCUUCUCGGAGGAGCAGUUCCGGGAGGCCUGCGCAGAGCUCCAGCAGCCCGCGCUGGCCGGGGCCGACUGGCAGCUGCUGGUGGAGACCCUGGGCAUCAGCAUCUACCGGCUGCUGGACCAGAAGACUGGACUGUAUGCAUAUAAAGUCUUCGGUGUUCUGGAGGACUGCUCACCAGCUCUACUCGCAGAUGUCUAUAUGGACUUAGACUAUAGAAAGCGGUGGGACGAGUAUGUUCAAGAACUCUAUGAACGUGAGUGCAAUGGACAGACAGUGGUCUACUGGGAAGUGAAGUACCCUUUUCCCAUGUCCAACAGAGAUUAUGUCUACACAUGGCAGCUGCGAGAGCUGGACAUGGCCGGGCGGAAGAUCUGCGUGGUCCUGGCCCAGAGCACCUCAGUGCCUCAGCUUCCGGAGAGGCAGGGGGUGGUCCGGGUGAAGCAGUACAAGCAGAGCCUGGCGAUCGAGAGUGAUGGCAAGAAGGGGAGCAAAGUUUUCAUGUAUUACUUCGAUAACCCAGGUGGCCAGAUUCCGUCCUGGCUCAUUAACAUGGUUGCCCAGAGUGGAGUUCCUAACUUCCUGAGAGACAUGGCAAAAGCCUGUCGGAACUACCCCAAGAAAACCUAAGACGAGGAAUUGGGAACAUUGCAUCCACGGGGCGAUGUCUCUGGAAGUGCCACCACCCACCGAUGCCCAGCCUUACUCUCUUUCCGUCUUCAGAGGCCUGCACGUUCUAGCACGUCGUUCCCUGACGCUGGGCUCCCUCGCCUGCUUCCUUUCUCACUCUCCCCACCCUGGGGCUGGCUGCCUCUUCCACUAUUGAAUACAGGGCAGACUAGGGAAACCUCCACUUGUUUAUUUUUAAGAAGGGAAGUCUUCACUAAGGGAACACAAUCAUUCCAUUGUGCCAUUUUAGGGGGAUGGGUGGGUGGAGGGCCGGACAACAAAACGUAAGAGUGACCGUUCCCGCCAAGCUGGCUCCUUCUCAGAAUGUGAUUUCUUCCAGCCCAGGAGGGGCUGCUGGAAGGGGCAUUCCAUUCAGGGUUGGCUUUAAGUGUACCCAAACUGGAAGACAUGUGCCAGUGACCAUUUGUCUGACGCUUUGUUGAGUCGAUGAGGCUGGGGUUUGAGGUGGUGAUCUAGUCCAUCUUUUCUCUUCCCUACUCGUGGAUCAGUAGCUAUAUCUCAAACUAUUUGCAGAAGCAUCACAGGCCUGAGUGAGCACGUAAUGUGGUAACCAUUUUUUUCCCUCAUUGCCUAUGUCUGUUUUUUUCUCUUUUCCAUAUCCCACUGGGGAAAGGCUGCUCAUAUCUCUUUUGGCUCUGCAUUUUACUAGAAACUGAGGCAUCGGGAUGGCUCUGGCAGCUAGCAAAAGCAAAGAUGCUUUGUGCAUAGCAUUGUGAUAAAGUGUCCUUCUAUGCAAUAAGAUGAAUUUCCCUUCUAGAAUGUUUGGAGAUAUAGAAGGGAUAAUAGUUCACAGGUAGGUAAAAUUUAUUUUAGUGGCUUGGUUGAUUCUGCACCAUUUUCUCAGGAAUUCUACCCAAUUUGUCUGACUUUUCCACCACCAAAAGAACUUCCAGUUUCCUAUGUUUUCUCCCGAAUUUUGGUAGGGUAUGAUAUCCUAUAGCCAAAGACAUAGCCUUGAUAAUCUCAGGGAAAAAUUUUAAUCACUGUGUGUAAUGGUACUGAACCUUGAUGAAUGAACAUAGAAAUUCAGGAUGUAAAGGCAGAGGAUAGGAUUUAUUAAAAUGGGAUACUUCAGACUGUGUGUUUUCUUUCUGGAAAAAAAAGCAUAUUCUAUAAUGAAUAAAUAUAGAGAGUGGCUUUAAAAAAAAAAAAAAAAAA
Molecule: RNA transcript, 1877 nt
Organism: Microcebus murinus (gray mouse lemur)
Lineage: Eukaryota; Metazoa; Chordata; Mammalia; Primates; Cheirogaleidae
Gene name: phosphatidylcholine transfer protein pseudogene
Source: RefSeq, a predicted model, not a curated record